Molecule: ribosomal RNA, 497 nt
Filed under: uncultured bacterium
Lineage: Bacteria
Description: partial 16S ribosomal RNA
Rfam family: Bacterial small subunit ribosomal RNA
Source: RNAcentral
GAUGAACGCUGGCGGCGUGCCUAAUACAUGCAAGUCGAGCGAACAGACGAGGAGCUUGCUCCUCUGACGUUAGCGGCGGACGGGUGAGUAACACGUGGAUAACCUACCUAUAAGACUGGGAUAACUUCGGGAAACCGGAGCUAAUACCGGAUAAUAUAUUGAACCGCAUGGUUCAAUAGUGAAAGACGGUUUUGCUGUCACUUAUAGAUGGAUCCGCGCCGCAUUAGCUAGUUGGGAAGGUAACGGCUUACCAAGGCAACGAUGCGUAGCCGACCUGAGAGGGUGAUCGGCCACACUGGAACUGAGACACGGUCCAGACUCCUACGGGAGGCAGCAGUAGGGAAUCUUCCGCAAUGGGCGAAAGCUUGACGGAGCAACGCCGCGUGAGUGAUGAAGGUCUUCGGAUCGUAAAACUCUGUUAUUAGGGAAGAACAAAUGUGUAAGUAACUAUGCACGUCUUGACGGUACCUAAUCAGAAAGCCACGGCUAACUACGUG